Molecule: ribosomal RNA, 3105 nt
Filed under: Burkholderia mallei 2002721280
Lineage: Bacteria; Pseudomonadati; Pseudomonadota; Betaproteobacteria; Burkholderiales; Burkholderiaceae
Description: 23S ribosomal RNA
Source: RNAcentral
GCAAGCCGCGCAAGCACAAGCACGGGCGUGGCAAGCGGCGCAGGCGUCGGCCACGCCGCAGCCCCCGCACUCGCCGCACUCCCCGCAGAUCGCCCCGAACGCGCGCAUCGGACAGGCCCCAACGCCCGCGCGCGCGCGCAUCGCAUCGCCGCCGAGCCACGAUUUCUAUCUUGGCCGCGAAGUGCGACGCACGAGCGACAGCGUGAUGUUCGAGCGCGUCUUCGAUCUGCGCACCGAUGCGUAUUUGCAGCACCACGUCGUGAACCGCUUCGCGACGCUGCCCGGCACGUUCGUGCCCGAGCUCGCGGCCGAGGCGGCGAUGAAGCUGCUGCCGGGGCUGCGCGUGGUCGGCUUUCGCGACGCCGCGUUCCGCCAUUUCCUGCGCGUGUACGAUGCGCAGCGGCCGAGCACGAAGCGCAUCCACGCGCAGGUCGUCGGCCGCGAGGGCGAGGCGGCCGUCGUGCAGGUGCGCAUCACGGGCGACGUGCUCGCGCCGAACGGGCAGGUGCUCGUCCAGGACAAGCUGCACUUCGAGAUCAAGGCGCUCGUCGCGCCGCGCCACCCGAGCGCGCCCGUCUGGCCGAUGCGCCCCGACGAGCCGCGCACGCCGGUUGCCGAUCCGUACCACUUCGAAUCGGCGCCCGUGCGGCUGACGGGCAUGUUCGUGUCGACCGCGGAUACGGGCGUCACCGCGACGGGCAAGGCCGCGCGCUACCAGUUGAACGUCGCCGCCGACGAUCCGGUGUUCUCGCGUUUCGUGAUCCCGAGCAUCAUGCUCGACGGCCUCGCGCGCGUCGCGGUGCUGAACUAUGUCGCGAACGACUACAUUCCGCUCGCCGCGCCGGUGUCGAUCGGGCGGAUCGAUCUGUACGAGGGGGGCAACGACUGCGAGCUCGCGCGCCGCUACGACCGGAUCGACCUGUACGCGACGCCGCGCGCGUUCGCGCUCGAAGGCGCGCACGGCGGCAACCGCUUCGCGGCGGUGCGCCCCGACGGCCGGAUGCUGAUGGAGAUGGGCGACGUGUCGGGCGUCGUGAUCGGCUACGUGCACCGUACGACGGGCGCAUACGCGACGAAGGCCGAGGUCGACGCGCUCGCCGCGCGCCUCGCAACCGAGCGGGAGACGGCAUGAGCAAGCACCGCCAGGCGCCGGGGCCGCGCGGCGGCCUCGUGAUGGGCAACCUCGCCGCAUACAAGCGCAAUCCGAUCACGAUGCUGCUGCGGCUGCAUCAGCAAUACGGCGACGUCGCGCGCAACCGGCUCGGCCCGUUCGUCACGCACGCGCUCGCGCAUCCGGAUCACAUUCAGUACGUGUUGCAGGAGAACCACCGCAACUACGUGCGCGGGCGUUUCUACGACAACUUCAAGAUGUUCUUCGGCGACGGCCUGCUGACGACCGACGGCGAAUUCUGGCGGCGCCACCGGCGCGUCGUGCAGCCGCUCUUUCACAAGAAGCAGGUCGAUGCGCACACGGCCGCCGUCGGCGACGCGGCGCUCGCGCUCGCGUAUCGCUGGAGCGCGCUGCCGCCCGGCAAGGCGCUCGACGUCGUCGAAGAGAUGAUGCACCUGAGCCUCAGGAUGCUCGGGCUGAUGGUGUUCAACACCGACGUGUCGUCGCACGCGGAGGCAGCGGGGCCGGCGGUGCGCUUCGGGAUCGAGGCGAUGAUGCCGCAGGGCAACCUGAACGACUUCAUUCCGCGCUGGGCGCCGACGCGCUUCAAUCGCCGGAUCGCGCACGCGCGCCGCGCGAUCGACACGAUCGUCGCGAAGAUCAUCGCCGAUCACCGCGAAGCGCGCUGCGAGCCGAGCGACGUGAUCUCGCUGCUGCUGAACGCGCGCGAUCCGGACACCGGCGCGCCGAUGACGCAGCAGGAAGUGCACGACGAAGUGAUGACCGUGUUCCUCGCGGGGCACGAGACGACGGGCGCGGGCCUCGCGUGGGCGCUGUACGCGCUCGCGCAGCAUCCGGCCGUGCUGCGCCAGUUGCGCGACGAGCUCGACGCGCGCCUCGGCGGCCGUGCGCCCACCGUGCAGGACUUCGAACAAUUGCCGUAUCUGUCGCAGGUCGUCGACGAGGUGUUGCGCGUCUAUCCGCCGAUCUGGGGCUUCACGCGCGAUCUCGUCGAGGACGACGAGAUCGGCGGCUACCGGAUUCCGGCGCGUUCGUCGGUCUUCAUGUCGCCGUACGUCACGCAUCGCCAUCCGGCGUUCUGGCGCAAUCCGGACGCGUUCGACCCGGAGAACUUCGCGAGCGACGCGCCGGCGCGCCACCGCUUCGUCUAUUUCCCGUUCGGCGGCGGGAUGCGCAAGUGCAUCGGCUUUCAGACCGCGCUCCUGCAGAUGCGCGUGCUCGUCGCGGUGGUCGCGCAGCACUUCGAUCUGAACGCGCUGCCCGGCCACCCGAUCGAGCUCGGCGCGACGAUCUCGCUGCGGCCGGUGCACGGCAUCCGUCUGAUCGUGAAGCCGCGCGAGCGGCAGCAGAGCCAUCUCGCGCGCGUGCGCGAACAUGAGUCCGCGCGCGCGCUGCGCCCGCUCGGCGAUACGGCGACGACGGCGGGCGCCGCGUGUCCGAUGACGGCGGCGCGCGAGCCGGGCGCGAGCGCCGCCGCGCUUGCCGCGGUGGAGGCGGGCGCGCUCGACGCCGCGCAUCGAGGCGGCGCGGCCGCCGCCGCCGCGGGCGAGCCUUGCCCGCCGCGCGAUCCGGCCGAGGCCGCGCCGCUGCCGCUCGCGGCGGCGCCCGCCCCGGCGUCGCCGGCCGUCGACGCCGACGCGAGCGCCCGCGGCGUGCCCGCAUGGCGCUUCACAUGGCGGCCCGUGCCCGUCGAUCCGGUGCCCGACGAGCCGUCGCCCGCGCUGAGCGGCAGGCGAAUCGCGCUCGUCAACGGGCGCGGCGGCACGGCCGAGCGGGUCGCGGCGGCGCUCGCGCGAACCUGCGCGAAAGUGUCGGUGUUCGCGCCCGCGGCGAGCGCCGAUCACGCGGAAGCGGCGCGGGUGUUCGUCAACGAGGCGGGGCCGCUCGACGGCAUCGUCGAUCUCGGGCUCGAGGCGCCGUUCGCGCUCGACGACGCGGGCGCGUGGGAGGCGCCGAUGCGCCGCACCGUCGAG